This 211-nucleotide unclassified non-coding RNA is filed under the name Hevea brasiliensis (rubber tree). The record is from RNAcentral. Lineage: Eukaryota; Viridiplantae; Streptophyta; Magnoliopsida; Malpighiales; Euphorbiaceae.
ACCAAGUCAAGAAUCAAGAAUGCGUGCAUUCUGUGUUCGUCACUGACAAGAAAAAGAGGUGCCUUCUGGUUUCCUCUUCAUAUACAUUACACUCAAUAAUGCACUAAUUCAAUAUCCAGGGAAAUAACGAUCCAACAACUCCCAAUCCAACACGUAUCAGAUUUCAGAUAAAUGAAAACCCUUUUGUACAACAUGCAUAUUUUUCAGGUAA